GGGGCCUUAGCUCAGCUGGUAGAGCAUCGCGUUUGCAACGCGAGGGUCGCCGGUUCGAACCCGGCAGGCUCCA
Molecule: transfer RNA, 73 nt
Filed under: Actinomycetota bacterium
Lineage: Bacteria; Bacillati; Actinomycetota
Also listed under: 1 other name
Description: tRNA-Ala
Rfam family: tRNA
About the family: Transfer RNA (tRNA) molecules are approximately 80 nucleotides in length.
Source: RNAcentral